CUCCCACCCAGUACAGCCGCUCCCCACACACUCACCUGGGCAGGGAGCAGGAGAGGAGCCCCAGCCUGCUGCAUUCAGCCGGGCUGCUCUACAGGACGGCGCUGGGCAGCCUCAGCUCUCCGGUCACUCCAACACCGCGGGCGCGGCUCUCAUGCAGGUGAGCUGCCACCUGAUGCGGAGUCCACGGGCUAAGGGGACCCAGGGCCCGAGCUGAGCUUCCUGGCAGAUCUUCUCUCCCGGAGCCCGACCCACGGCGCCUUCUAGUGUCCUAGAGUGAUAUCGUCGUUCCAAGUUUCACUCCAGCUACUUUCUCUAUUCGCACCUGGGAGACAAGGUCAAAACCAGGCCAGUGUAAGACUCAACAAACCAGGCAGGUUAUGUUCGCUAGCCAUCCCGGCGACUGGGAAGCUGAGGCAGGAGGAUUGCAAGUUGUGGCAAGACUCAACAACUUAAGUUACACCCUGUCUCCAAAUAAAAAGUAAAAAUAGUUUGGGGAUGUAGCUCAGUGGUGGUGUGUGCCCCCUCAUUCUGCAGUGUCACAAAGGAAAAUAAAAAGGAUUUAAGAAAAACAAAAUGAGAAGCAAUUCAAUUAAAUUAGCCCAGAGUUAGUAAACUAAAGAAGAAAAAAUGCUUUAUACUUUAUCAUGUCAAAAAUUCAUUACAUACCCAAGAAAAUUUGUAAAUAACCAUUAAACACAUUGAUAUAUUUAAUAUCAUGGCUCUAAAAAUGCAAAAUUAAAUCAUUAUAUUAUCCCAUUCCACAAAAAUAAACACAACUGAGUGCAUGGGGUGACUGGCAGCAUAUAAAGUAGGUGGACUCUGACUUACUGCUAGCAGAAGGCAGCCACUUUGUAAGCAGAUUUGCCAUCCUGUUAGCAUACAAAGUUAACAUAAAAUUUCUGAGUGUUGUAUUGUUAGUGAAUUGCCCAAAAGAAUUACACAGAAAUUCAUAAAUGAAAAUACAUAACAGGAUUGUUCAUCAAACAGCCUAAACAUCUAAUAGUAAGACACCAGAUAGAAUUUCAAAAUCAUUCUGCUUAUGUCAGAAGACCCAUAGGACAGAGUGCAGGUGACAUGUCUCGUGGAGAUGAAAUUUUGUAAAAGAGAAAUCUAGUGGCACAAAUAAGACAAGGGGUCCUGGGGGCCAAGGUUGAUGGAAUAUUGACUGAAAACUGUCAUAAAUUAUAGUUGAUAAAAAAUUUUAAUCUUCAUUUUGAAUUCAUGAAAGAUAUGAAUAUAUCAAUAUGAAUAUGUAUAUUAGAUAAUUAUAAAUACAAUGCAUAUGAAAUAUUUAUUUAUUAGUUUAUUUCACUACUCACCAAACUGCUUAAUUGGAUACAUAUUAUUUUGUGUAAUUUCCACCUUUAUUUUAAAACAACGAUCACAGUAUUCUAAGAUGAAAUUACAAAAACUUUUACGAACUACUUUUCAUAAAAUUCUGCCCCUUUAAAGAGAAUAUUAUUGGUCGAAAAAAGAGUUAAAAUAUGUAAAAAAAAAAAAAAGUUGAAUACUCUUGCCUUCUGUCCUUAGUUACAGAUGAAGUGAUAUUUCCCUAAGACACCGCCGCUUUUGGAGCGAUGGGUUUCACAUCGUGGAUCUGGUACUGCCAUAGGAAAGCCCUAGGUAACUGAGGUGGCAGAGGCCACGCAAGACUCGCCUGGUGCAGGGAAGGUCUCAGUCCCCUUCGAGGGAGGAAGGAAGAAAGAAGAAAGAAAUCGGUGGCCUCCGUUUGCAAACACCAGCAGUACAAAUGUGUCAACUUCACAAAAUAUGAUUAGUAGUGUUGUCACAUUAAAAGACUGAAUGAGGGUGAGGUGUCCAGAAAUCUAGGAAUGGGGACAAGCGUAGGAGCGGUGUGCCAAGCUGAUCUGAGCCUUGGUGGGCGCCCUCCCUUGGGCGGAGUCCUCGUGGGGGUCCUCCCCUGGGCGGAGUCCUGGUGGGCGCCCUCCCCUAUGUGCUACCUGGAGAAGGGAAGGGGCAGCCAGGGCGCGUGCUGGUGUCGCUGUGCAGCGCAGAGAGGAGGUGGGUGGAGACAGAACCCUCCAGAGGGAGGCAGACGUCAGGGGACGCCUCAGGAUGUCAUCAGUGAGUCUGCAGGCUGUGUCCACUGGACACGUGGGCUAGCUCAGGGGAGGCAGUGAGCCCCCAGUCGGGUCACUAGGAAUACAGGGUUCCCAGUUUACGGACCAGAAGGAUAAAAUCUCUUCGCGAGUGGCGGUGACAUUUUGGUACCUCUUGCUGGCAGCCGCGCCACUCUGGCUGAUUUGCCCCAGGCGCUGUGGGAUGCGCCCUGCUGGCUUCUGCCCGCGGUGGCUCAGCUUUGGGGCCGCCGGGUGUUUCCUUCCCCUCAAGCAUGGAUUUGCCCUGCUGCAGGGCAAUUCGCCUACUGGUGCCUCCCGGAAAUGUAUCAGUGGAAAGGAGCUCAGAGCAAGGUCUGCGGGCCAGGGUUUCCUUGUCUCCCUACCGGUCACAGCUGCCUGUGAGGAAGGUGGCUGCUGCCACCGCGGGGAGGGACAGCACAGUAGUCAUUGGCCUCACCUCUGGCGGCAGCCCAGCCAAGAGCAAGAGCUGUGCAUCAGCGGGGCCUCCUGGGAUCCAGAGAAGCAGCAGGGGGCGCUGGAGACCUGGUGCUUGAGGCUGAGGGUGGUACCAGGGCUACCUGGGAGGGCGCCCAGCUGCUGCUGGAACGGGGAUAUGCCAGUCACCAACACUGAGG
Molecule: long non-coding RNA, 2716 nt
Filed under: Marmota monax (woodchuck)
Lineage: Eukaryota; Metazoa; Chordata; Mammalia; Rodentia; Sciuridae
Source: RNAcentral